RNAcentral lists this transfer RNA (73 nucleotides) under Tringa glareola (Wood sandpiper). RNAcentral describes it as "tRNA-Trp". It matches the Rfam family "tRNA". Rfam says of the family: Transfer RNA (tRNA) molecules are approximately 80 nucleotides in length. Their secondary structure includes four short double-helical elements and three loops (D, anti-codon, and T loops). The record is from RNAcentral. RNAcentral also lists the same sequence under 1 other name. Lineage: Eukaryota; Metazoa; Chordata; Aves; Charadriiformes; Scolopacidae.
AGAAACUUAGGAUAACUAAAACCGAAGGCCUUCAAAGCCUUAAACAAGAGUUAAACCCUCUUAGUUUCUGCUA